AAUCAACGCUGGCGGCGUGCCUCAGACAUGCAAGUCGAACGAUUAAGACUUCCUUCGGGAAGUGCAUAAAGUGGCGCACGGGUGAGUAACACGUAAGUAAUCUACCCUCGAGUGGGGAAUAACGUUCGGAAACGGACGCUAAUACCGCAUAACGCAGCGGCACCGCAAGGUGACAGUUGUUAAAGGAGUAAUUCGCUUGAGGAGGAGCUUGCGGCAGAUUAGCUUGUUGGUAAGGAACGGCUUACCAAGGCUACGAUCUGUAUCCGGUCUAAGAGGACGGUCGGACACACUGACACUGAAUAACGGGUCAGACUCCUACGGGAGGCAGCAGUCGGGAAUUUUGGGCAAUGGGCGAAAGCCUGACCCAGCAACGCCGCGUGAAGGAUGAAGUAUUUCGGUAUGUAAACUUCGAAAGAAUGGGAAGAAUAAAUGACGUACCAUUUA
This 444-nucleotide ribosomal RNA is filed under the name uncultured bacterium. RNAcentral describes it as "bacterial SSU rRNA". It matches the Rfam family "Bacterial small subunit ribosomal RNA", at positions 32 to 484 of the family's 1533-position model. The record is from RNAcentral.